AACCACUGCUAUUGGGGUUCGAUUAAGCCAUGCGAGCGGAGGGCAGUUCGGCUGCCCCGCGGACGGCUCAGUAACACGUAGUCAACCUACCCUUGGGUCGGGGAUAACCCCGGGAAACUGGGGAUAAUCCCCGAUAGGUGGGGGUACUGGAAAAGUCCCUCUCCCAAAGCUCCGGCGCCCAAGGACGGGACUGCGGCCCAUCAGGUAGUUGGCGGGGUAACGGCCCACCAAGCCGACAACGGGUACGGGCUGCGAGAGCAGGAGCCCGGAGAUGGAGACUGAGACAAGGCUCCAGGCCCUACGGGGCGCAGCAGGUGCGAAAACUUCGCAAUGCGUGCAAGCGUGACGAGGGAAUCCCAAGUGCCGAUGGUUUUUCUGAUCGUCGGCUUUUCAAGAGUUUAAAUCGCUCUUGGAAUAAGAGCUGGGUAAGACUGGUGCCAGCCGCCGCGGUAACACCAGCAGCUCAAGUGGUGGUCGCGAUUAUUGGGCCUAAAGCGUCUGUAGCCGGGCCAGUAAGUCCCCUGUGAAAUCGGACGGCUCAACCGUUCGGCGUGCAGGGGAAACUACAGGUCUUGAGGCCGGGAGACGUCGAGGGUACUCCGGGGGUAGCGGUGAAAUGCUGUAAUCCCUGGGGGACCACCAGUGGCGUAGGCGCUCGACGAGAACGGACCUGACGGUGAGGGACGAAAGCUGGGGGAGCGAACCGGAUUAGAUACCCGGGUAGUCCCAGCUGUAAAGUAUGUGGGCCAGGUGUAGGGCGCUCCACGAGGGCGCCCGGUGCCGUAGGGAAGCCGUUAAGCCCACCGCCUGGGAAGUACGGCCGCAAGGCUGAACUUAAAGAAAUUGGCGGGGGAGCACCACAAGGGGUGGAGCCUGCGGUUU
RNAcentral lists this ribosomal RNA (882 nucleotides) under uncultured archaeon. Its description in RNAcentral is "bacterial SSU rRNA". It matches the Rfam family "Archaeal small subunit ribosomal RNA", at positions 21 to 903 of the family's 1478-position model. The record is from RNAcentral.